UGCUGGAGGUAUCAGAAGUGCGAAUGCUGACAUAAGUAACGAUAAAGCGGGUGAAAAGCCCGCUCGCCGGAAGACCAAGGGUUCCUGUCCAACGUUAAUCGGGGCAGGGUGAGUCGACCCCUAAGGCGAGGCCGAAAGGCGUAGUCGAUGGGAAACGGGUUAAUAUUCCCGUACUUGGUGUUACUGCGAAGGGGGGACGGAGAAGGCUAUGUUGGCCGGGCGACGGUUGUCCCGGUUUAAGCGUGUAGGUGUGUGUUCCAGGUAAAUCCGGUUCACUUUAACACUGAGGCGUGACGACGAGGCACUACGGUGCUGAAGCAACAAAUGCCCUGCUUCCAGGAAAAGCCUCUAAGCAUCAGGUAACAUCAAAUCGUACCCCAAACCGACACAGGUGGUCAGGUAGAGAAUACCAAGGCGCUUGAGAGAACUCGGGUGAAGGAACUAGGCAAAAUGGUGCCGUAACUUCGGGAGAAGGCACGCUGACACGUAGGUGAAGUGAUUUACUCAUGGAGCUGAAGUCAGUCGAAGAUACCAGCUGGCUGCAACUGUUUAUUAAAAACACAGCACUGUGCAAACACGAAAGUGGACGUAUACGGUGUGACGCCUGCCCGGUGCCGGAAGGUUAAUUGAUGGGGUCAGCGCAAGCGAAGCUCCUGAUCGAAGCCCCGGUAAACGGCGGCCGUAACUAUAACGGUCCUAAGGUAGCGAAAUUCCUUGUCGGGUAAGUUCCGACCUGCACGAAUGGCGUAAUGAUGGCCAGGCUGUCUCCACCCGAGACUCAGUGAAAUUGAACUCGCUGUGAAGAUGCAGUGUACCCGCGGCAAGACGGAAAGACCCCGUGAACCUUUACUAUAGCUUGACACUGAACAUUGAGCCUUGAUGUGUAGGAUAGGUGGGAGGCUUUGAAGUGUGGACGCCAGUCUGCAUGGAGCCGACCUUGAAAUACCACCCUUUAAUGUUUGAUGUUCUAACGUGGACCCGUAAUCCGGGUUGCGGACAGUGUCUGGUGGGUAGUUUGACUGGGGCGGUCUCCUCCUAAAGAGUAACGGAGGAGCACGAAGGUUGGCUAAUCCUGGUCGGACAUCAGGAGGUUAGUGCAAUGGCAUAAGCCAGCUUGACUGCGAGCGUGACGGCGCGAGCAGGUGCGAAAGCAGGUCAUAGUGAUCCGGUGGUUCUGAAUGGAAGGGCCAUCGCUCAACGGAUAAAAGGUACUCCGGGGAUAACAGGCUGAUACCGCCCAAGAGUUCAUAUCGACGGCGGUGUUUGGCACCUCGAUGUCGGCUCAUCACAUCCUGGGGCUGAAGUAGGUCCCAAGGGUAUGGCUGUUCGCCAUUUAAAGUGGUACGCGAGCUGGGUUUAGAACGUCGUGAGACAGUUCGGUCCCUAUCUGCCGUGGGCGCUGGAGAACUGAGGGGGGCUGCUCCUAGUACGAGAGGACCGGAGUGGACGCAUCACUGGUGUUCGGGUUGUCAUGCCAAUGGCACUGCCCGGUAGCUAAAUGCGGAAGAGAUAAGUGCUGAAAGCAUCUAAGCACGAAACUUGCCCCGAGAUGAGUUCUCCCUGAGACUUAAAGUCUCCUGAAGGAACGUUGAAGACGACGACGUUGAUAGGCCGGGUGUGUAAGCGCAGCGAUGCGUUGAGCUAACCGGUACUAAUGAACCGUGAGGCUUAACCUU
Molecule: ribosomal RNA, 1676 nt
Filed under: Salmonella enterica
Lineage: Bacteria; Pseudomonadati; Pseudomonadota; Gammaproteobacteria; Enterobacterales; Enterobacteriaceae
Also listed under: 11 other names
Description: partial 23S ribosomal RNA
Rfam family: Bacterial large subunit ribosomal RNA
Source: RNAcentral